ACGCUCGACACCUACGGUAGGCAGCAGUUAGGAAUAUUGGGCAAUGGAGGAAACUCUGACCCAGCAACGCCGCGUGAAGGAAGAAGGUUUUCGGAUUGUAAACUUCUGAUCUAGGGGAAGAAGGAAGUGACGGUACCCUAGGAGAAAGCCACGGCUAACUACGNGCCAGCAGCCGCGGUAAUCUGAGCGGGCUGGCAAGGC
RNAcentral lists this ribosomal RNA (201 nucleotides) under uncultured bacterium. RNAcentral's name for it is "partial 16S ribosomal RNA". It matches the Rfam family "Bacterial small subunit ribosomal RNA", at positions 326 to 539 of the family's 1533-position model. The record is from RNAcentral.